GACGAAGGGGGCUAGCGUUGUUCGGAAUUACUGGGCGUAAAGCGCGUGUAGGCGGUUGUUCAAGUCAGGUGUGAAAGCCUUGAGCUCAACUCAAGAAAUGCACUUGAUACUGGAUGACUAGAGGACCGGAGGAGGAUAUCGUGGAAUUCCCAGUGAUAGUGGUGAAAUACGUAAGAGAUUGGGAAGAACACCAGUAGGCGAAGGCGGCUGAUUCUGGACGGUUUCUGACGCUAAGACGCGAAAGCGUGGGGAGCAAACAGG
RNAcentral lists this ribosomal RNA (261 nucleotides) under uncultured bacterium. RNAcentral describes it as "partial 16S ribosomal RNA". It matches the Rfam family "Bacterial small subunit ribosomal RNA", at positions 524 to 776 of the family's 1533-position model. The record is from RNAcentral.